CGUGUAGGUGGUUUUGUAAGUCGAAUGUGAAAUCUCACGGCUCAACCGUGAAAUUGCGUUCGAAACUACAUGACUUGAGUUAGGGAGAGGUGUGCGGAAUUCCUGGUGUAGCGGUGGAAUGCGUAGAUAUCAGGAAGAACACCGAUGGCGAAGGCAGCACACUGGCCUGUAACUGACACUGAGGCGCGAAAGCGUGGGGAGCAAACA
This 207-nucleotide ribosomal RNA is filed under the name uncultured bacterium. RNAcentral describes it as "partial 16S ribosomal RNA". It matches the Rfam family "Bacterial small subunit ribosomal RNA", at positions 568 to 774 of the family's 1533-position model. The record is from RNAcentral.